This 248-nucleotide ribosomal RNA is filed under the name uncultured Lachnospiraceae bacterium. Its description in RNAcentral is "partial 16S ribosomal RNA". It matches the Rfam family "Bacterial small subunit ribosomal RNA", at positions 524 to 770 of the family's 1533-position model. The record is from RNAcentral. Lineage: Bacteria; Bacillati; Bacillota; Clostridia; Lachnospirales; Lachnospiraceae.
UACGUAGGGGGCAAGCGUUAUCCGGAUUUACUGGGUGUAAAGGGAGCGUAGGUGGCGAUGCAAGCCAGAAGUGAAAACCCGGGGCUCAACCCCGAGGACUGCUUUUGGAACUGUGUUGCUGGAGUGCAGGAGAGGUAAGUGGAAUUCCUAGUGUAGCGGUGAAAUGCGUAGAUAUUAGGAGGAACACCGGUGGCGAAGGCGGCUUACUGGACUGUAACUGACACUGAGGCUCGAAAGCGUGGGGAGCA